CUUGAAUAAUUGACGCCCUACCUUCCAAGGAUAUAUAUAGCAGACCAUGAUAGCUGGUGAUCGGUAUUUUUAUUGGAAGUUAGCUAGCAAGUAUCAUUCCUUGUCAGAACGCGCCUCCUAACCAUUGCCAUUCCAUUAUUCCAUAGGUGGACGCACGUGUUGAUCGUGCCUAAAGUGCCUUCAAUUCUUGACUUCUCAUGCCCUGGGAACCAAUGUUCAGAGCAAUGGAAGUGACGAUGACCAAUUCUGUUCUCAUGCUUGCGGGUUGCGGAUUCCAUUUAUGCUUUCAGCAUGGAAAUUUAGUCCCGCGUAUUUGAAAAGCUGAAGAAUAGCCCCUAAAGUUCUGUUCUAGUGGCAAUCAUGUUUUUGUUUGUGCUGUGACAUUAGACUAUCCUACUAACUACAGAACUUAAGAUCUGCAGCUAAUUUGCAAAAGGAAAGCAUUUUGAACUACCUGUUUUUAUAUGGAAUGUAAGAGAGUGACAAUAAGAUUUUAGCGAAGACUGAGAACGUGUAAUAUUAUUGUGUGAAUUUGGACAAAAUAUGAGCUGUCAAUUGGAUGUAAAACCGUCCAAAAGAACACAUAACCAAACAAGGAGACAGGAUAUAACAAUUUUAUUAAGAAAAAGAAAAUCUGCAAAAUAGUAAAGAGAACCCAAUCUGUCUUCUCUCUUGCUCUCUUUGAUAUGAGGAUUCGUAAAAAUGGGGAGUUCUCUCCACUCAUGUUCCUGGAAAGUACAUUGGGACCCCACCAAACAGUUCCAAAAACCAUUUGCCAACUAAACCAGUCUCCGUGGGACGUGAUUCCAUUCUCUAAAGAGAUUUGUUCACCUUCUCUUCACCAGGUUAAUCUGAGUUCUCUCCUCUCUUUCCACACUUAAUUUUAGCUUGAUCAAUUUAACUCUAUCCAUCAAUUAAUCAUUUCCAUACCUACAUUUUCUCUAUGUAUAUCUUUCUAGGGUUUUGAAGGGUGCCGCUGUCUUGUUUCAUUAAGCGUAUUUUCUUUCUUGGUUUUGUCGUGUGUUGGCCUGUAAAUGGCAGAUUAGGUUAAUAUUAUGUACCUUUCUCAAUAUUUAUUUUAUCAUCCUUUGGUUCGCUACUUAAUGCUGUUUUGGUUUUAUUUAUACUUUUUUCUUUUUAGUUUGGAGAAGGAGAUCAUCGUUGUUUUAGUGGGAAGGAAAGCUUCGGGAAAUCUACUGGCGCCGUUCAAAGAAGCCCGGAGAAAAAAGGGUUCAACACUAAUGAAGAAAUGAAAGGAGAGAACGAGCUCAAAAUCAAGAGAGGGGUAAAGAUACUGCACUUCGACAAGGCUAAAGGAAAGGAAUUUCUUUGCAUAAAUGAGUGCAAAGAUGCACAGUCAAUAUGUGACCAUCACUUGAACUUAGUAAAACCUCAUAAGAGAAGUAGUGGUUCCGGUUGCCUGGGUGUUACAGACCCGUCUAUCAAGAAACCUGCAACUAGGGCACUCAAAGGUCAGACAAGGGCUACAAAUAAAGGGCACUUUCCGAGUUCAAAUGCAAACCAGUAUUACUAUUAUUCUGGGUUCGGGCCGUUGCGAGGUAGAAGAAGGGAAAGGGGAGAAAGUACUGAUGUCAGAGAAACUUCCGUUCCAGUAACUGUUAAUGGUGUUGCUCAAAAUACAACGCCAUCUCCUAUACCAAUAAUUUAUAUUGAUGAUGGUUCUGAAGAGCGUGAUAGUGAUCACUGAGUGCCGAAGAGAGAAAUGUAGUGAAUGCUAGGUCCAUCGAGUCUUCAAAUUCUUUGCACAACAAAUUAAGUAGUGAAGGACCAAUUUUCUUCUGCGUUUAUAAUGUUUUAAUUCUUUGAUAGACAUCAUGAUUUGUGUUAAGAUGAGAAUUUUCUCUAGAGCAUGAAAUUAAACAAUUGCACAUGCAUGUUGUU
Molecule: long non-coding RNA, 1902 nt
Organism: Populus trichocarpa (black cottonwood)
Lineage: Eukaryota; Viridiplantae; Streptophyta; Magnoliopsida; Malpighiales; Salicaceae
Exons: 3
Source: RefSeq, a predicted model, not a curated record